AAAUAAAUACGACACCUCAUAUAUUUCCUGAGAAUAUGGCUCAGAAGUUUCUACCCGGCACCGUAAAUGCCUGGACUAUGAGGGAGGAUGAAU
This 93-nucleotide non-coding RNA is filed under the name Oceanobacillus massiliensis. RNAcentral describes it as "Purine riboswitch". It matches the Rfam family "Purine riboswitch aptamer". Rfam says of the family: Riboswitches are metabolite binding domains within certain messenger RNAs that serve as precision sensors for their corresponding targets. Allosteric rearrangement of mRNA structure is mediated by ligand binding, and this results in modulation of gene expression. The record is from RNAcentral. Lineage: Bacteria; Bacillati; Bacillota; Bacilli; Caryophanales; Bacillaceae.